This 215-nucleotide long non-coding RNA is filed under the name Elaeis guineensis (African oil palm). RNAcentral's name for it is "long non-coding RNA (EGUI_LNC002407)". The record is from RNAcentral. Lineage: Eukaryota; Viridiplantae; Streptophyta; Magnoliopsida; Arecales; Arecaceae.
CAGACAUAAUCUAAGCCUACAAGUCUUUAAGGUUACUAAAGAAGAAAUGGAUUCCAUUAGGCAACCUAAAAUCCUACAAGAUCUAUGUUAUCCGAUUGGUUCUGUCCAACCAUCUAGAAUUAGAUCCUCAGCCAAUAAUUUUAUAAUUGUCCCUCAAAUGAUUAACAUGCAUUCUACAUUUACUGGAAUUGAAGAUGCAUACAUUUAUAUAAGGA